UACAGAGGUCCCGAGCGUUGUUCGGAUUCACUGGGCGUAAAGGGUGCGUAGGUGGCCUAAAAAGUUUGAUGUGGAAGCUCAGGGCUUAACCCUGAAAUGGCAUUGAAUACUGUUGGGCUGGAGGUUUGGAGGGGGGACUGGAAUUCUUGGUGUAGCAGUGAAAUGCGUAGAUAUCAAGAGGAACACCAGUGGCGAAGGCGAGUCCCUGGACAACACCUGACACUGAGGCACGAAAGCUAGGGGAGCAAACAGG
RNAcentral lists this ribosomal RNA (253 nucleotides) under uncultured bacterium. Its description in RNAcentral is "partial 16S ribosomal RNA". It matches the Rfam family "Bacterial small subunit ribosomal RNA", at positions 524 to 776 of the family's 1533-position model. The record is from RNAcentral.